This 271-nucleotide unclassified non-coding RNA is filed under the name Stachylidium sp. RNAcentral's name for it is "partial contains 5.8S ribosomal RNA, internal transcribed spacer 2, and large subunit ribosomal RNA". The record is from RNAcentral. Lineage: Eukaryota; Fungi; Ascomycota; Sordariomycetes; Glomerellales; Plectosphaerellaceae.
CGCACAUGGCGCCCCCCGGCAUCCCGGGGGGCAUGCCUGUCCGAGCGUCGUUUCAACCCUCGAGCCCCCGUGGCCCGGCGUUGGGGAUCUACGGCUCCGGCCGCAGGCCCCGAAAACCAGUGGCGGACCCGCGUCGGCCCUCCCUUGCGUAGUAGCAUUAGCCUCGCAUCGGAAGCCCGCGGCAGCUCCGGCCUCUAAACCCCCACUAAAGUCCGUCUCCGGCGGCACCAAGGUUGACCUCGGAUCAGGUAGGAAUACCCGCUGAACUUAA